This 523-nucleotide ribosomal RNA is filed under the name uncultured Bacillota bacterium. Its description in RNAcentral is "bacterial SSU rRNA". It matches the Rfam family "Bacterial small subunit ribosomal RNA", at positions 355 to 891 of the family's 1533-position model. Lineage: Bacteria; Bacillati; Bacillota. The record is from RNAcentral.
UGGGGAAUAUUGCGCAAUGGGGGAAACCCUGACGCAGCGACGCCGCGUGGAGGAAGAAGGUCUUCGGAUUGUAAACUCUUGUCUUCAGGGACGAAAAAAAUGACGGUACCUGAGGAGGAAGCCCCGGCUAACUACGUGCCAGCAGCCGCGGUAAUACGUAGGGGGCUAGCGUUGUCCGGAAUUACUGGGUGUAAAGGGCGUGUAGGCGGGUAUAUAAGUCAGAUGUGAAAUACCGUGGCUCAACUACGGGGCUGCAUCUGAAACUAUAUAUCUUGAGUGCAGGAGAGGAAAGCGGAAUUCCAAGUGUAGCGGUGAAAUGCGUAGAUAUUUGGAGGAACACCAGUGGCGAAGGCGGCUUUCUGGACUGUAACUGACGCUGAGGCGCGAAAGCGUGGGGAGCGAACAGGAUUAGAUACCCUGGUAGUCCACGCCGUAAACGAUGGAUACUAGGUGUAGGAGGUAUCGACCCCUUCUGUGCCGGAGUUAACACAAUAAGUAUCCCACCUGGGGAGUACGGCCGACG